GAGCACGUAGGUGGGUUUGUAAGUCAGAUGUGAAAGCCUUCUGUUCAACGGAAGAAUUGCAUCUGAAACUGCUAAUCUUGAGUAUAGGAGGGGAGAAUGGAACUUCUGGUGGAGCGGUGAAAUGCGUAGAUAUCAGAAGGAACGCCGGCGGCGAAAGCGAUUUUCUGGCCUAUUACUGACACUCAGUGUGCGAAAGCUAGGGGAGCAAACGGGAUUAGAUACCCCGGUAGUCCUAGCCGUAAACGAUGGGCACUAAGUAGAGGGGUUUUAA
Molecule: ribosomal RNA, 271 nt
Filed under: uncultured anaerobic ammonium-oxidizing bacterium
Lineage: Bacteria
Description: partial 16S ribosomal RNA
Rfam family: Bacterial small subunit ribosomal RNA
Source: RNAcentral